CUCCAUUUCCCUGUCGUCUGUGAAGGCUGCCGAGACAGCGCUGUAUUUUUCUUGUUUUUUUAGGUUAUUAUAAAGUGCCCGGAAGCGCCAUGCUGUGGGAAGACAUAAGAAGAAGAGGAGGAAGAACAAGAGGAGGAGGAGGAGGAGGAUGAAGGGGACACACAGGAAUCAAAUGAUACUGCCAGAAGAAGAAGAGGAGGAGGAAGAGGAUACAGAGGAAUCAGUUGACACUACCAAACGAAGAAGAGGAGGAGGAGGACUGGGAAGAAGACGAGGAACACAGGAGGAGCCCAUUGAUACUGCCAGAAGAAGAAGAGGAGGAGGAAGAGGAUACAGAGGAAUCAGUUGACACUACCAAACGAAGAAGAGGAGGAGGAGGACUGGGAAGAAGACGAGGAACACAGGAGGAGCCCAUUGGGAAGUGUCUGAAGGAGUGAGCUACUCAACCCAUUGUGGAGGUUAGCUUGAAGAGGUGGAGGACUUCCUCUCUCCUGUUGAGUGCCUCAUGGUGUGCCUGAGUGUGCGGUGUCCCGCAGGCAGACCGAGAUGUCCGUUCAAUUCUGCCGAAGGAAAGAAGUCGUGUUAGUCAACUCUGAUGACUUGUACUUUUCUCUGCAAGGGACUGUUCUGUAAGCCAGUCACAGAAGAUGUGAACUGUAUCUGUACUAUGAAGUCUUAUAAAUAAAGUUAAGGACCACA
Molecule: long non-coding RNA, 699 nt
Organism: Eriocheir sinensis (Chinese mitten crab)
Lineage: Eukaryota; Metazoa; Arthropoda; Malacostraca; Decapoda; Varunidae
Exons: 8
Source: RefSeq, a predicted model, not a curated record